Daucus carota subsp. sativus is the source of this 535-nucleotide long non-coding RNA. RefSeq lists it as uncharacterized. The transcript has 2 exons. Lineage: Eukaryota; Viridiplantae; Streptophyta; Magnoliopsida; Apiales; Apiaceae. The record is from RefSeq and is a predicted model, not a curated record.
ACACGCUCUGCCAGCUGCCGCUAUCCUCCGUUCUCCUCCCUCUCUCUCUCUCUCCCCCCGCACACACUCUCCUCUACCUCUUCAUCCUCUCAUGUAUCUCACUCGGAUUCUCCUUGUCCUGGAGACUCGAGCACCAAUGGUCGGGAGGCUCUUGAUUAUUGAUAGCGGCGUUGGAAUAACUAAAGGAGAUUUGGUGAAUAAUUUGGGGACGAUUGCAAGAUCGGGGACGAUGGAGUUUAUGGAGGCAUUUCAAGCUGGGGCUGAUGUGAACAUGAUUGGGCAUUUGGUGUGGGAUUUUACUUUGCUUAUCUAGUGGUGGAGAAGGUGAUUGUGACCACCAAAUAUAAUAAUGAUGAGCAGUAUGUUUGGUAGUCACAGGGCGGUGGUUCAUUUGCUGGUGGCUCGUUUACUAAGAUGAAGCUCUUUCUCAAGGAUGAUUAAGCCUUAAGGAACCCUAGCGCUUCUGUUUCUUCCCCCUUUUCCCCAAACAAUUUUAUUUAUAUAUUUUUACGUAUCUAUCCUUUAAUUUUUUUAA